Molecule: ribosomal RNA, 440 nt
Filed under: uncultured bacterium
Lineage: Bacteria
Description: partial 16S ribosomal RNA
Rfam family: Bacterial small subunit ribosomal RNA
Source: RNAcentral
CCUACGGGAGGCAGCAGUGGGGGAUAUUGCACAAUGGGGGGAACCCUGAUGCAGCGACGCCGCGUGGGUGAAGAAGCGCCUCGGCGCGUAAAGCCCUGUCAGCAGGGAAGAAAAUGACGGUACAUGAAGAAGAAGCCCCGGCUAACUACGUGCCAGCAGGCGCGGUAAUACGUAGGGGCCAAGCGGUAUCCCGAUUUACUGGGUGUAACGGGGGCGCAGACGGGGAUGCAAGCCAGGAGUGAAAGCCCGGGGCCCAACCCCGGGACUGCUCUUGGAACUGGGUGGCUGGAGUGAAGGAGGGGCAGGCGGAAUUCCAGGUGUAGCGGUGAAAUGCGUAGAUAUAAGGAGGAACACCGGUGGCGAAGGCGGCCUGCUGGACUGCAACUGACGUUGAGGCCCGAAAGCGUGGGGAGCAAACAGGAUUAGAUACCCGUGUAGUC